GAAUUAGCGCAGUCUGGUAGCGCGCCUGCUUUGGGAGCAGGAUGUCGGGGGUUCGAAUCCCUCAUUC
RNAcentral lists this transfer RNA (67 nucleotides) under uncultured Porticoccus sp. It matches the Rfam family "tRNA". Rfam says of the family: Transfer RNA (tRNA) molecules are approximately 80 nucleotides in length. Their secondary structure includes four short double-helical elements and three loops (D, anti-codon, and T loops). Lineage: Bacteria; Pseudomonadati; Pseudomonadota; Gammaproteobacteria; Cellvibrionales; Porticoccaceae. The record is from RNAcentral.